This 806-nucleotide long non-coding RNA is filed under the name Nicotiana benthamiana. RNAcentral describes it as "long non-coding RNA (NBEN_LNC033298)". The record is from RNAcentral. Lineage: Eukaryota; Viridiplantae; Streptophyta; Magnoliopsida; Solanales; Solanaceae.
GCUAGACUAUAUCUAAAAAAAGAGCAGCAGCUAAGAAGAGGAUGGAACAAUUCCUUUCGAAAAAACGAAAAAACAAGCAACUUUCCUCCAUGGGAAUUAGCUGAACUUCAGACCUAAGACCCAUCUUCUCCAUUUGCAUUUUUGUACAAAAAUGUACCUGUAGUAGAUAGUACCCAAAAAUAGUAGCUAAGAAUGACAAGUUUCUAUUCCCAUCACACAUAAACAAACCCCGUUUUCCACCAUUAGAAGGACCUUUCUUUUUCUGCCAAACUCCAUACUAAAACCAGUUGAACCACUCCGAAAUUCCAGCCCAUAAUCACCCCUUUUGAAAUGCCACUAUUUCAGCCAUUAACCCCCAAAGCAUCGACGAAAACUCAGGCUGGAAACACCUCUUAAACCACCCAAAAAACGUAGCAAACUUCAGUCACAAAUAAGCACCAAAGACCCAUAAAAUCCAGCCAUGAACUCCACAAAAACUCGGCUGGAAAACAGUGGAAACAGACCCAUAAAUAGCCAAUCUGUUACUUUCAAUGUUGACAUCUAUGGCAGUGGGAUUCAGUCAAAUUCGAGUUCGCGAUGAGGUUGCGAACUCCAGUCGGUGGUCAGUCUCCUACACUUUGUUCACCUUUGGAGUGCCGAUGUAACAAGCCAAAUUUGACAAUCAAUAUAAAGGUCCAUCUUCCCAUUUCAUUUCUAGUUCUGUAUAAUUCUCGUUCAGAUUUCGUGAAUGUUCCGUUUGAUAUUUUGUUAGUCUUCCUAUUUACUUAUUAAGCCAAUAUGGAAUUUAUUUUCUUUGCUUUAGUCUA